CACAUUAGACACUGAUGGCCCUCGGAAUUUGAUUUUAUUAAAGCUGUAAAGACUAUACGAUGGAUUUAUGAUUUAAAUGGUAUUGUUUUGUUUUCUUAUUUCCUUUAACAUGGUGGGUUUAAUUCAUUAUUUCAUAUAAAGAGUUUGAUUUGAUAAAUUUGUGUUUAUUUUAUAAUAGUACACCACUAAGCAAAAUGCUUAGCGAUAGUUGCUUUUGUGCUGUCGCACGAAAAGGCAAGGAAAAAGAACUAGGAGAAGAUCGUUUUUGUUUGAUGUAGAUAGUAUGCUACUGAUGUAGCUAUUGUAUAUUUGACUUCUUUUGGAAUAUGUAUGAUGUAUUAAACAUUAACAGAACAUCUAUGUAUAUUUGAGCAGA
RNAcentral lists this long non-coding RNA (376 nucleotides) under Jatropha curcas. RNAcentral describes it as "long non-coding RNA (JCUR_LNC000192)". The record is from RNAcentral. Lineage: Eukaryota; Viridiplantae; Streptophyta; Magnoliopsida; Malpighiales; Euphorbiaceae.